RNAcentral lists this transfer RNA (72 nucleotides) under Chelonia mydas (Green sea turtle). It matches the Rfam family "tRNA". From Rfam's summary of the family: Transfer RNA (tRNA) molecules are approximately 80 nucleotides in length. Their secondary structure includes four short double-helical elements and three loops (D, anti-codon, and T loops). Lineage: Eukaryota; Metazoa; Chordata; Testudines; Cheloniidae. The record is from Rfam by way of RNAcentral.
GGCAGUGUGAUCUAGUGGCUAGAGCCCUGGCCCGGGAGUCAGGAGACCUGGAUUCUAUUCUCAGCACUGCCA